Molecule: long non-coding RNA, 1030 nt
Organism: Ictalurus punctatus (channel catfish)
Lineage: Eukaryota; Metazoa; Chordata; Actinopteri; Siluriformes; Ictaluridae
Source: Ensembl
UGAAGGUUCUGGAAAGGGACCUUGCGCCACGCUGAGUGGGAACCACUACACGUUGAUCACUAAUCGAUGCGAGAGGGAACAUAGGCCAUUACCACUACCAUUACCACAAACAGUUCUGCACUCGAGUCUCCAUCAGUGAACAGUGGAGACGUUCCACUAACCCUAACCCUAGUAUAGGUGGUGUUGGAGGUUGUUAAUGUUAGUGCCUGUGAUGUUGGAGGUUGUUAAUGUUAGUGUCUGUGGUGUUGGAGGUUGUUAAUGUUAGUGUCUGUUGUGUUGGAGGAGGUUGUUAAUGUUAGUGUCUGUGGUGUUGGAGGAGGUUGUUAAUGUUAGUGUGUGUGGUGUUGGAGGUUGUUAAUGUUAGUGUCUGUGGUGUUGGAGGAGGUUGUUAAUGUUAGUGUCUGUGGUGUUGGAGGUUGUUAAUGUUAGUGUGUGUGGUGUUGGAGGUUGUUAAUGUUAGUGUGUGUGGUGUUGGAGGUUGUUAAUGUUAGUGUCUGUGGUGUUGGAGGAGGUUGUUAAUGUUAGUGUCUGUGGUGUUGGAGGUUGUUAAUGUUAGUGUCUGUGGUGCUGGAGGUUGUUAAUGUUACUGUCUGUGGUGUUGGAGGAGGUUGUUAAUGUUAGUGUCUGUGGUGUUGGAGGUUGUUAAUGUUAGUGUCUGUGGUGCUGGAGGUUGUUAAUGUUAGUGUCUGUGGUGUUGGACGUUGUUAAUGUUAGUGUCUGUGGUGUUGGAGGAGGUUGUUACUGUUAGUGUCUGUGGUGUUGGAGGUUGUUACUGUUAGUGUCUGUGGUGUUGGAGGUUGUUAAUGUUAGUGUCUGUGGUGUUGGAGGAGGUUGUUAAUGUUAGUGUCUGUGGUGUUGGAGGUUGUUAAUGUUAGUGUCUGUGGUGUCGGAGGAGGUUGUUACUGUUAGUGUCUGUGGUGUUGGAAUGGUUGAGAAGGUUAAGAGGGCAGUGCUUUCAUUAACUGUGGAGGAAUCUUUAUCUUUAUUGGAGAUUAUUCUGUUCCCCUGUUUAUAUGUUUCUGUAAAGCUG